This 72-nucleotide transfer RNA is filed under the name Paramuricea clavata. It matches the Rfam family "tRNA". From Rfam's summary of the family: Transfer RNA (tRNA) molecules are approximately 80 nucleotides in length. The record is from Rfam by way of RNAcentral. Lineage: Eukaryota; Metazoa; Cnidaria; Anthozoa; Malacalcyonacea; Plexauridae.
GCCUCUGUAGCUGAGUUGGUUAGAGCGCUGCACCGGAAUCGCGGGCCGUAGGUUCGAUUCCUACCAGAGGAC